AGAGAAUGUGGGACUGGUUGAUUUGUCCGUCCUGAUAAAGCAGCAUCUCCAUAGGUUUGGAUUUAUCAGGAGUGAGGUGAGAGUCAAAAAUUUUAAGUGAAAGUUAUCAUAAUAUUAAUAAAUAGAAAUGAUGAUGUAAUUAUUUUCUUUUACUGUAGAGGUAUCGUGUUGUUCAGUUCACAGAGUAUGACUGCAAGUUAAACCGGCG
RNAcentral lists this long non-coding RNA (208 nucleotides) under Ananas comosus (pineapple). Its description in RNAcentral is "long non-coding RNA (ACOM_LNC001975)". Lineage: Eukaryota; Viridiplantae; Streptophyta; Magnoliopsida; Poales; Bromeliaceae. The record is from RNAcentral.